This 463-nucleotide ribosomal RNA is filed under the name uncultured bacterium. RNAcentral's name for it is "partial 16S ribosomal RNA". It matches the Rfam family "Bacterial small subunit ribosomal RNA", at positions 28 to 507 of the family's 1533-position model. The record is from RNAcentral.
GACGAACGCUGGCGGCGUGCUUAACACAUGCAAGUCGAACGGAAAGGCCUUUUCGGGGGUACUCGAGUGGCGAACGGGUGAGUAACACGUGGGUGAUCUGCCCUGCACUCUGGGAUAAGCCUGGGAAACUGGGUCUAAUACCGGAUAGGACCGCACUUUAGUGUGUGUGGUGGAAAGUUUUUUCGGUGUAGGAUGAGCCCGCGGCCUAUCAGCUUGUUGGUGGGGUAAUGGCCUACCAAGGCGGCGACGGGUAGCCGGACUGAGAGGUUGGUCGGCCACAUUGGGACUGAGAUACGGCCCAGACUCCUACGGGAGGCAGCAGUGGGGAAUAUUGCACAAUGGGCGGAAGCCUGAUGCAGCGACGCCGCGUGGGGGAUGACGGCCUUCGGGUUGUAAACUGCUUUCGCCAGGGACGAAGCGUUUUGUGACGGUACCUGGAGAAGAAGCACCGGCUAACUACGUG